CACGUGUAGCAGUGAAAUGCGUAGAGAUGUGGAGGAACACCGAUGGCGAAGGCAGCCCCCUGGGUCAAGAUUGACGCUCAUGCACGAAAGCGUGGGGAGCAAACAGGAUUAGAUACCCUGGUAGUCCACGCCCUAAACGAUGUCUACUAGUUGUCGGGUUUUAAUUAACUUGGUAACGCAGCUAACGCGUGAAGUAGACCGCCUGGGGAGUACGGUCGCAAGAUUAAAACUCAAAGGAAUUGACGGGGACCCGCACAAGCGGUGGAUGAUGUGGAUUAAUUCGAUGCAACGCGAAAAACCUUACCUACCCUUGACAUGUCAGGAACCUUGGAGAGAUCUGAGGGUGCUCGAAAGAGAGCCUGAACACAGGUGCUGCAUGGCUGUCGUCAGCUCGUGUCGUGAGAUGUUGGGUUAAGUCCCGCAACGAGCGCAACCCUUGUCAUUAGUUGCUACGAAAGGGCACUCUAAUGAGACUGCCGGUGACAAACCGGAGGAAGGUGGGGAUGACGUCAAGUCCUCAUGGCCCUUAUGGGUAGGGCUUCACACGUCAUACAAUGGUACAUACAGAGGGCCGCCAACCCGCGAGGGGGAGCUAAUCCCAGAAAGUGUAUCGUAGUCCGGAUUGUAGUCUGCAACUCGACUACAUGAAGUUGGAAUCGCUAGUAAUCGCGGAUCAGCAUGUCGCGGUGAAUACGUUCCCGGGUCUUGUACACACCGCCCGUCACACCAUGGGAGCGGGUUUUACCAGAAGUAGGGAGCUUAACCGCAAGGAGGGCGUUUACCACGGUAGGAUUCCUGACUGGGGUGAAGUCCUCACAAGGCAGCCG
Molecule: ribosomal RNA, 827 nt
Filed under: uncultured bacterium
Lineage: Bacteria
Description: bacterial SSU rRNA
Rfam family: Bacterial small subunit ribosomal RNA
Source: RNAcentral